Molecule: long non-coding RNA, 267 nt
Filed under: Vigna radiata
Lineage: Eukaryota; Viridiplantae; Streptophyta; Magnoliopsida; Fabales; Fabaceae
Description: long non-coding RNA (VRAD_LNC011316)
Source: RNAcentral
AGUCACUCUUUACCUACUGUAUCUUCUAACUUACCAGAAUUACCAUCAUCUUUACUACCUGUGAGUACUACUACCCCUAGUGUAACAUCUGCUUCGUUUCCUCCGUCUAAUUUUGCCCCAGCACCUUCUGCUUUGCCUCUUGCACCUUCUGCAUUGCCUCCUGCACCAUCUGCUUUGCCUUCGGCUUUGCCUCCUGCNCCUUCUGCAACGCUUGCUUCUGAAAUUUUGCCAGCAUCAGUAACAAACAAGAUACCCAAUGUUUCAACU